GGAGGUAUGGCUGAGUGGCUUAAGGCAUUGGUUUGUCGUACAAGAAGAUUGUAUCAUGGGUUCGAAUCCCAUUUCCUCCG
RNAcentral lists this transfer RNA (80 nucleotides) under Scutellaria barbata. RNAcentral's name for it is "tRNA-Asp". It matches the Rfam family "tRNA". From Rfam's summary of the family: Transfer RNA (tRNA) molecules are approximately 80 nucleotides in length. Their secondary structure includes four short double-helical elements and three loops (D, anti-codon, and T loops). Lineage: Eukaryota; Viridiplantae; Streptophyta; Magnoliopsida; Lamiales; Lamiaceae. RNAcentral also lists the same sequence under 1 other name. The record is from RNAcentral.